GGUGAGGUGUCCGAGUGGCUGAAGGAGCACGCCUGGAAAGCGUGUAUACGUUCAUAGCGUAUCGAGGGUUCGAAUCCCUCUCUCACCGCCA
RNAcentral lists this transfer RNA (91 nucleotides) under Acinetobacter sedimenti. Its description in RNAcentral is "tRNA-Ser". It matches the Rfam family "tRNA". From Rfam's summary of the family: Transfer RNA (tRNA) molecules are approximately 80 nucleotides in length. Their secondary structure includes four short double-helical elements and three loops (D, anti-codon, and T loops). The record is from RNAcentral. Lineage: Bacteria; Pseudomonadati; Pseudomonadota; Gammaproteobacteria; Moraxellales; Moraxellaceae.